This 553-nucleotide ribosomal RNA is filed under the name Fusarium tricinctum. RNAcentral's name for it is "eukaryotic LSU rRNA". The stretch from base 184 to 337 matches the Rfam family "5.8S ribosomal RNA". The record is from RNAcentral. Lineage: Eukaryota; Fungi; Ascomycota; Sordariomycetes; Hypocreales; Nectriaceae.
UUCCGUAGGGGGUACCUGCGGAGGGAUCAUUACCGAGUUUACAACUCCCAAACCCCUGUGAACAUACCUUAAUGUUGCCUCGGCGGAUCAGCCCGCGCCCCGUAAAACGGGACGGCCCGCCAGAGGACCCAAACUCUAAUGUUUCUUAUUGUAACUUCUGAGUAAAACAAACAAAUAAAUCAAAACUUUCAACAACGGAUCUCUUGGUUCUGGCAUCGAUGAAGAACGCAGCAAAAUGCGAUAAGUAAUGUGAAUUGCAGAAUUCAGUGAAUCAUCGAAUCUUUGAACGCACAUUGCGCCCGCUGGUAUUCCGGCGGGCAUGCCUGUUCGAGCGUCAUUUCAACCCUCAAGCCCCCGGGUUUGGUGUUGGGGAUCGGCUCUGCCUUCUGGCGGUGCCGCCCCCGAAAUACAUUGGCGGUCUCGCUGCAGCCUCCAUUGCGUAGUAGCUAACACCUCGCAACUGGAACGCGGCGCGGCCAUGCCGUAAAACCCCAACUUCUGAAUGUUGACCUCGGAUCAGGUAGGAAUACCCGCUGAACUUAAGCAUAUCAAA